Molecule: unclassified non-coding RNA, 137 nt
Filed under: soil metagenome
Description: partial internal transcribed spacer 1
Source: RNAcentral
CAGAGUUGCAAAACUCCCAACCCUUUGUGAACGUACUGAAAAAUUGCUUCGGCGGGAGGCUCCUCAGGGAGCGGACCGCCGGAGGAAUCCAAACUCUUGUUUUUUUGGCAGUCUCUGAGUAGCUUAUAAAUAAGUUA